Molecule: small RNA, 29 nt
Filed under: Bombyx mori (domestic silkworm)
Lineage: Eukaryota; Metazoa; Arthropoda; Insecta; Lepidoptera; Bombycidae
Description: ovarian small RNA-20646
Source: RNAcentral
UACCCAAUGUGCCGUCGAACAAGGGUUCA